Actinia tenebrosa (Australian red waratah sea anemone) is the source of this 671-nucleotide long non-coding RNA. RefSeq lists it as uncharacterized. The record is from RefSeq and is a predicted model, not a curated record. Lineage: Eukaryota; Metazoa; Cnidaria; Anthozoa; Actiniaria; Actiniidae.
GCUGCUGUGAUUUGCUUUAUCACAGUCACGGGUAUUAUUAGGGGUCCAACAAAAGAGUUUUUUUCUCAACAUUUUCUUGAUACAUGUCAACCUUGGUUCAUAAACGACACUUCACUGGGUUCUUGAACAGAGCGUGAUGGAGUGGAUUCAUGCCUAUUAAACCGUUCGGUCUAGAGUUCAGUCUGAUGAUUGACAAUUUAACUUGUUCCAAACGUUUUAAAAAAAUCCGUGUAGAGUCACUGAUGGGGAAGAGAAAGUGGGAUAAAGUACGCACCAUUACAUUUCUUGGAAACCAGGAGCUCAUUGCAAGCAAGAUCUUCUGAGCCACCGUGUAAGAACUGAUGAAAAAAGUGGCGAAGCGAGGGAGCAACUUAGUGAAAGCUAACCCCAGACUCGAAUGUGAUUUUUUUUUUUUUUCGUUUUAUUCAUUAUCUUAGACAAGGGCGGCAAAUUUGAGAUAGAUAUGUUUUAUUUUACGUUGGAAGGAUACUGCCACAGAGCAUCCUUUUCUUCUUGAAUGAUUUUGCCUCAAUUCAUUGGCAUUGCUUUUAGGCAUGAACAUAAACCCGCCCUUUGAAACCUUUAUAUUCAAUGUCUUUAAAGAAAGAGUUCCUUAAAGUAUCGUCAGACUGGUAUAUAUUCGAUAACAAAUAAAGAAAAGAGAAAAGCUA